UGGCUCAGAGGGUAAAGCAUCUGUCUGCAAUGCAGGAGACCUGGGUUCGAUUCCUGG
RNAcentral lists this transfer RNA (57 nucleotides) under Bos taurus (domestic cattle). It matches the Rfam family "tRNA", at positions 8 to 63 of the family's 71-position model. Rfam says of the family: Transfer RNA (tRNA) molecules are approximately 80 nucleotides in length. Their secondary structure includes four short double-helical elements and three loops (D, anti-codon, and T loops). Further hydrogen bonds mediate the characteristic L-shaped molecular structure. tRNAs have two regions of fundamental functional importance: the anti-codon, which is responsible for specific mRNA codon recognition, and the 3' end, to which the tRNAs corresponding amino acid is attached (by aminoacyl-tRNA synthetases). tRNAs cope with the degeneracy of the genetic code in two manners: having more than one tRNA (with a specific anti-codon) for a particular amino acid; and 'wobble' base-pairing, i.e. permitting non-standard base-pairing at the 3rd anti-codon position. RNAcentral also lists the same sequence under 2 other names. Lineage: Eukaryota; Metazoa; Chordata; Mammalia; Artiodactyla; Bovidae. The record is from Rfam by way of RNAcentral.